CACUGGAACAACUUGCCUAGGGUUGUGAUGAAUUCUCCAUCACUGGCAAUUUUAAAAUCAAGACCGGAUGUUUUCCCAAAAGAUAUGCUCUAUUUCAAACUGGAAUUAUUUCAGGGAAAUUCUAUGGACUGUCAUGCAGGAGGUCAGACUAGAUGAUCACAGUGGUCCCUUCUGGCCUUAGAAUCUAUGAACAGCAAUAUUAAACGCU
Molecule: long non-coding RNA, 208 nt
Organism: Dermochelys coriacea (leatherback sea turtle)
Lineage: Eukaryota; Metazoa; Chordata; Testudines; Dermochelyidae
Exons: 3
Source: RefSeq, a predicted model, not a curated record